AAUUAAAAAAAAAUACUAAAACGUAUAUUGAAAAUUUUCAAAACCUUCUUCUUCUUCUUCUCCUUCUGUUCAAACUCGGUUGCCUAGGUGAUGGACAGACAUGAGACAGAGACUGGGGUGGCCACGGGCAUCGAAUUUAAAGGGGCUGGGUGGAAGUUCAAACGACUAGGUGUGCUAGAUUUAAUGGGACUGGGACGAAGGAUGGAGCAUCAAUCUGAAUGACAGGGAAAAUGGGGACGCCGAGGACUAAAAAUGUUCGACAACACUUAGAUUUGACAGGAAGGCAACGGAGGGAGGCGAGCUUCUUCUCCGAUCUAGGCGCGCGAUCUUCUUCUCCGAUCUGUGCGGACAUACUUCUCCUCAAAUCUAGGCAGAUGGACUUCUCUCCCGGCUGUGAUCUCAGGCAUGGGCUCGAUAUGGGCAUUGGCAUUGGCAUUGUCUCCGAGCAGUGGAUGUGUGUCUUUGGUCUGGGUUGUUUUCUUCUUUUCUUUUUUGUUUGCAGAUCUGGUUAUGGAGCAAAGAGGAAGAAAAGUAUGUUCUCAUUGUUCAAGAAUUUACUGAUUUGGGUUUGAUAAAGAUAUUAAAGAUUGAUAUUAUUGUUCAAGAAAAUGAUGCCUUAGAUCUGCUACAUCUCCGGCUAGGGAAGGCAACCCAUAUUUGGGGUUGGAUCUUGCUACGAUUGCUCUGAGAUGGGGCUUAAUCUUGCUGUGAAAUGCCUGUUGGGUACGGCCAGAUUCCGGUGGGGAUCGCGGGUCCGUUGUUGCUCGAUGGGUUCGAGUAUUCGGUGCCGAUGGCGACUACGGAGGGUUAUUUGAUUGCGAGUAUAAACAGAGGUUGCAAGCUAUCCAUUUGUCUGGUGGGGCUACCAGCGUGUUGUUGAGGGACGGCAUGACCAGAGCACCGAGUUGAAGUUCUUCUUGGAGGACCCUGAUAGAUGGAAAGUGAGGUUUAAUUCCGCCAAGAGAGCUUCCGAGUUGAAGUUCUUGGAGGACCCUGAAAAUUUCGAGACACUUUCCAUCAUCUUUAACAGGUCUAGUAGAUUUGCCAGGCUCCAGGGUAUUCAGUGCGCGAUUGCUGGAAAGAAUGUGUAUAUCAAAUUUACCUGCAGCACGGGAGACGCCAUGGGGAUGAACAUGGUUUCAAAAGGAGUUCAGAAUGUUCUUGAUUUCCUUCAAAACGACUUUGAUGACAUGGGUGUUAUUGGCAUAUCUGGUUAGAUUUUUUUUUUUUGGAUUAUUAUAUUUAUAUUUUUAGACCAUUUAGUCACUUUUCUUUCUUGUGAACUUGUCAAAUUUUUCUUCAACCUGAGUAUUUGCUGCUGUUCCCUUUUUCAGUUAUAUGCAGUAAUACACCCCCUAUAUUCAUAUCCCUUGAAGAUGAACUCAAGGAAAAUAAAACAUUUAAAUAAUCAAAUAAUGAAAUAGUUUAAUUUGGCAAUAAGUUUCAAGACAAUUAUUUGAUUUGAUUGCUAUUUUGGCUUGUAUCCAUUCAUUUAUUAGAGAAUUGAACUGUGUCUUUUAUUUUAUUAGAUAAAAUAGAAGCGAAUAGAAUAUCUGAGUAGUAUCUGCUCAAGCUUUUAUUUAUUAGGCUAACUUUUUAUGUACUAAGGAAGGCUUAUGUAGAAAAUUUUAUUUAUUAGAUUCGGCAUGCCUAUUUACUUGAAAUAGAAAAAUUAAUAUGAAAAACUCAAUGUAAAGUUAAAAAAGAGUUGAGGUUCAGCCAAUCAUUUUGUUUACAAGAGAGCAUAAACAUUUAUUUUUGUAAUGGGUUUUGUGGAUUAAGUUGGGAUCAGAUUGUAUACUAGUUUUUUGUAAUGAAUCCACUUAUGAUUGUUUGUUUUUAUUGAAUAGCCGUUACCACUGGUUUUCUGAGGCCAUAAUUUUAUAAAUUCAAGGGUGAAAAGUGGAAGCUUUCCAAUAAGAUAACAAUAUAUGUAUAUAUUGUUAGACAAUGUAAUAUUACAUGAUUAGUUUUCUGUUUCUGGUUUGCUAGUUUUGUUAGCUUCAGUUGUAUUCAGUUAGACUGUUACAACUUCCAUCUAUUUCUAUGUUGUGUAUUGCUACUGUUGUAAAGUUCUAUAUAUAAAUAAGAUUUGCCUGUCUCAAAAUCUUCUUUAGAGCUACUUUUUCUCCAUUUACAUUCUUGAAUUAACUGCUACCACCCUAUGCUAAUUUGCCUGGUUUGCUUUGCUUUUAUCUUAUCCACCCAUGGGCAUUUUGAGUUUUUUCAACUUUUUUUUAUCGAAAAAAGGAGUAUAUUAAAAACACAUAAACAAAUUACAACUGCCAGAUUUGAAACACCACCAAACUUACACAAACUCAAAACAGAGACUAAAAUACAAGCCAAAUCAUAAACUCCUAACCAACUCAGCAAUUGAUCUAUUCUUAGCCAAACACUGUUGACUCAAACAGCCAAAAAAUCUAGUUUUCAAACUCAAACUUAUCAUUUUAACUAAACUUAUCAUUGCACCAGAUGCCAUAAAAGGCCACCCUCCAAUCAAAUAAGAAGUGUUUUUUUAGGUUCCCCAUAUAAACAUAUACAUAUAUUAGUCUAUAUAUAUCCAGAACAAUCCAGCUGGAAUGAAGAACUGACUUUCUCCCUCAAAGAACCUAAUGGAGUUUUGAAUUUGGAAGUGUUUGAUAAAGACCUCUUGAAGUCAGAUGACAAAAUGGGACAUGCACAACUCAGCCUUCAACCACUUGUCUCUGCUGCUAGACUCAGGCGGAUUCUGCAGAACUUCAAUGGCGAGACGGUGUUAAUGAAGGUUGUCCCAGAUAGUGACAACUGUUUGGUCAGAGAAAGCUCCAUCACUUGUGUCAAUGUUUGAUGCUGCAAAAUUAAGAAAGCUAAGACCAAGUUUCAAGCAGAACGAGGGCUCUGUUACUGCUGGCAAUGCUUCAAUCAUAAGUGAUGGUGCAGCUGCAUUAGUCCUAGUGAGUGGAGAGAAGGCACUUCAACUUGGAUGGCAAGUAAUUGCAAAGAUUAAGGGCUAUGCUGAUGCAGCUCAGGAUGGAAGGAGCAAUGUGCCAAGUACUCUCCUUACUCCACAUACUUUGAGGGCAGACUCAGCUCUGCCAUGCUCAAGAAUUUUACACAAAACUCCUUGUUUCAUUUAAUAUUAUAAAUUCAUUAUUGGCUUUCUUACAAGUUUUAUUGAGGGUGAAAAGAAGCCAGGUGUUCUUCUUACUUUGUUUCAUUACUUGGAAAAAGUAAACAAUCACACAGUAUGCUUAGAGGCUCUCCAGGUGAGAGCUGCAUCAGUAACAUGUUUUGCGGGCAUAACUUCCUCUGUAUUCUUCUCUCUUGCGAAGGAGAAACAGGAUUUCAUUCUUUCUGCUGCGAUUAAUGCAGCCAAACAAGACGAGGUGCCUUCAGUUAGAUCAGCUUCUUGUCGAGCCAUUGUGAUUUUAAAUUUUUUUCAUGCUUUCAUGUUUCGUUGAGCUCGAAAUAUAGACAGAAGAAUUACUAGAAACUUAAGUGGUAUAGUGCAGAGAUCCUGAACAAAUUGAUUCACGCAGUGGAGAUUAAUACCCGCGACCCCUCAAUAUUGGUGCGAAUAACUGCUUCUUGGGCUUUGGCAAACAUAUGUGAUUCUAUCCGGCACUGUAUUGAUACUCUUGCUUUGGAAGGCUCCACAGACUAUACUGCAGUCUCUGAAUCAGUGGCAUUACUAACUGAUUAUACUGAAAUGAGAGCACAUAACACCAAAAUGAAUCAUUUGAUAGUAUCAACCGUGAUAGUGCCCCUAUGCUUAAACUGAAAUGACAGCACAUAAAGUAUUGCAUUUUUUUUUUGAUUUUCUGAUGAUCUUUCGAAGUUCUUCUUUCAUGUUGUUUCUUCAAUUUCUUCAAUUACUGAUUCCACAGUAUUGUUCCCUUGCAAUAUAUGUAUAUAUGAGUUGGCAUGUUGUAUUGGCUUCUUCUACUGUAUAUACUACUGGUAUGUGGCCAUCAUUAUUUUGUCUAUAAGCUUGAAUCACCAAAAUACAUGUUUCUCUCAGCACCAUUGAUCUAUUUCUCUUCAUUUUAUUUAUAUGACAAAUUGACAAUGGCUUAGUCUACCUAUUAUGUACUCUCAUACUUAUUUCUGGUAAAAGAAUAGUUGCAGCCAUUGUUUUUGAUUGGCAAUUUACAAGUAUCAAUGCUUUUAAGUAUUUUCCAAUAUCUUUGAGGGGAUUGGCCAAUGUUAAUUUUUAUGUUACCUUCAUGUUUUCAUUCAUUAGUAAUCUUAUUAGUAUAAAUAAUAUGAAUAUAUUUUCAUUAGAAAUAUAAACAAUUAAGUGGUGGUCAAAAAAGUUACCACAUAAGAGAAAAUUCCAAUGCCAUAUCACGUGAAUACUGAAAAUUUAUCCAGUAGAUCAGUAGACCUACAAGUGUCUCUGCUGUGUGGUGGGGUGUUGUUGCUACUGCACGUAUAUAUAUAAGAAUAAAAGAAUAUCAUUAAAUAUGAUAGUUUAUAUAUAGCAGUAUAGUAUCUACAGUCCCAACUUACUGUUUUGAGUCAUCAGACUCAUCACCAUAGAGAAAUUAUGAGCAAUGUGUAUUAUUUGUUAAAAAAUUCCAAUAAUGUUGAGGUAUAUGACUAAUGUUGAGGUUAGAUAAGCCAAGGGUUCUUAGGAUUUAAGGUGAUUCUUUUCUACAGGCAUUUGAUGCUAAGUUGAGACUCAAAAUAAUGCUAUAAAUUUGCAUUUCUAGAACAACUUUUACACAUUGCAAUCUUUCGACUUGAAAAGUGGAUUGCAUCUAAUUUUGAGAAAGGGGAACAGGAAGGAGAAAAUGUAUAUGAGGAUUAUUUAGUGGAUUUCCAUAUGUGAUGUUGCCUUUAUUUUUCCUCUCCCAAUUCAUGAUGAACUAGGUCAUAUCUUAGGCAUUCUUAUUGUUGGAAUUUUUCGGUCACUAAUAAUAUUUCUGCAAUCUGGUGCUCUUUUAGACUGCUUAAGAGAGAUCCAAUGGGUGCACUUGGCUAUGCAUGUUUGAAGCCAUCCCUCAUGAAGAUUGCUGAAUCUACU
Molecule: RNA transcript, 5008 nt
Organism: Humulus lupulus (European hop)
Lineage: Eukaryota; Viridiplantae; Streptophyta; Magnoliopsida; Rosales; Cannabaceae
Gene name: T-complex protein 1 subunit theta-like
Exons: 10
Source: RefSeq, a predicted model, not a curated record